CAGUGCAAUGUUAAAAGGGCAU
Molecule: non-coding RNA, 22 nt
Filed under: Lepisosteus oculatus (spotted gar)
Lineage: Eukaryota; Metazoa; Chordata; Actinopteri; Semionotiformes; Lepisosteidae
Also listed under: 44 other names
Source: RNAcentral